This is a long non-coding RNA of Columba livia (rock pigeon), 788 nucleotides long. RefSeq lists it as uncharacterized. The transcript is spliced from 4 exons. The record is from RefSeq and is a predicted model, not a curated record. Lineage: Eukaryota; Metazoa; Chordata; Aves; Columbiformes; Columbidae.
UACCUCUAGGAGCAAAGAAAAAAAAAAAGUGUUUUGUGCUGAAAUAUAUCAUGAAAGUCAAUUUCAUCCUUAUUAAAUCAAGCCACCAAAAGAUGCAGUGACUGAAAACUUCUCCAGAGAAUAAUUCUGCCACACCUGAACCAAACUAUUUUGUCUGUCGUUGGUUUCAAAUGGGAUCCCCCUCGAUGGACAUCUCCGAGUCGCCCUUGUCCACAGCGUCUCUCCCUUGAUGGCACUGUCUCCAUCAGUGGGACCAUUCACCUGCAGCCAGCCAGGACCCCUGCGCAGGGGAGAAGGCCAGUGGAGCCGGGGGAUGCUGGAUUUCCAGCCAGUUAUUGUGGGCUAGGAGUGCUGACAUCUCCACCUUUCAUCGUGCCCUUCAACCGCAUGGCUUGGGAGGUGGCAGCCUUUAUUGCCUGCUUGUUUAAGGUUGUGGGGUGAGAGUCGGGAGAAUGGUCCCUGUUUUGCAAGCAAGCAAAUAACAGUGAAGUUGCUGGAGGGAAAUCUCUUGUCGAGUCUCCCUGAGCUGGAGGGACGCAGAGCACUCAUUGUUCACUUGUUCCUGUAAAAUCAACAGCAAGACCACUCCUGCAGAAUCCGGUCUGCUCCACCGCUGCACCUGACUCCUGCCCCGAUGUAAGCUUCACCUCCUGGUAUUUACAACCUAAAGCCCUCCAAUAUUGCGUUAGUUAAUAGGAUCCAGACAAUGAAGCUGACUACAGGGAAAAGCAAGAGACUGUUCUACUUUCACCAGUGAAAGAGAAGAAAAGACCCAGCUUGAUAAAUGG